This 343-nucleotide unclassified non-coding RNA is filed under the name soil metagenome. Its description in RNAcentral is "partial contains 5.8S ribosomal RNA, internal transcribed spacer 2, and large subunit ribosomal RNA". The stretch from base 1 to 120 matches the Rfam family "5.8S ribosomal RNA", at positions 35 to 154 of the family's 154-position model. The record is from RNAcentral.
GAUGAAGAACGUAGCGAAAUGCGAUAAGUAAUGUGAAUUGCAGAAUUCAGUGAAUCAUCGAAUCUUUGAACGCACAUUGCGCCCGCCAGCAUUCUGGCGGGCAUGCCUGUUCGAGCGUCAUUUCAACCCUCGAGCCCCCCCGGGGGCCUCGGUGUUGGGGGACGGCACACCAGCCGCCCCCGAAAUGCAGUGGCGACCCCGCCGCAGCCUCCCCUGCGUAGUAGCACACACCCCGCACCGGAGCGCGGAGGCGGUCACGCCGUAAAACGCCCAACUUUCUUAGAGUUGACCUCGGAUCAGGUAGGAAUACCCGCUGAACUUAAGCAUAUCAAUAAGCGGAGGA